This 75-nucleotide transfer RNA is filed under the name Bacillus phage PBC2. Its description in RNAcentral is "tRNA-Gly". The record is from RNAcentral. Lineage: Duplodnaviria; Heunggongvirae; Uroviricota; Caudoviricetes.
UGUGGUAUAUCGGAUUCGAACCGAUGUUUCCUGCUUGGAAGGCAGGGGUGCUAGACCAGACUACACUAAUACCAC